GACGAACGCUGGCGGCGUGCUUAACACAUGCAAGUCGAACGGGCCCGCCCCUGUUUUUGGGGGUGGGUUGAGUGGCGAACGGGUGAGUAUCACGUGAGUAACCUGCCCCCUGCUCCUGGAUAACUGCUUGAAAGGGCGGCUAAUACGGGGUGUGCCGGCUGGUCCGCAUGGGCCUGGUCGGGAUAGUUUCAUCUUCGGGUGUUUCGGUGGGGGAUGGGCUCGCGGCCUAUCAGCUUGUUGGUGGGGUGAUGGCCCACCAAGGCGGUGACGGGUAGCCGGCCUGAGAGGGUGGGCGGCCACGCUGGGACUGAGACACGGCCCAGACUCCUGCGGGAGGCAGCAGUGGGGGGUAUUGCACAAUGGGCGGAAGCCUGAUGCAGCGACGUCGCGUGAGGGAUGGAGGCCUUCGGGUUGUGAACCUCUUUCUCCGGUGGUGAAGGCCCUGUCCGUUGCGGCGGGGUUGACGGUAGCCGGGGAUGAAGCGCCGGCUAACUACGUG
RNAcentral lists this ribosomal RNA (499 nucleotides) under uncultured bacterium. RNAcentral describes it as "partial 16S ribosomal RNA". It matches the Rfam family "Bacterial small subunit ribosomal RNA", at positions 28 to 507 of the family's 1533-position model. The record is from RNAcentral.